CUGAAAGCAUAACAACUAAGCCAUAGAAGAUAUUAUGAAGCUUUUGGUCCAAGAUUCUUCUGAAUUCUUGGAACGGAUGGAAUCAAGGGCAGGAAUGAUAUUUGCUCUGUAUCGCCACAAAGAUAACCUGAAUUGGUAAAUACCGUCUAAGUGCAGCGUGUGGCUUAGGCUCCAUAUGUAAGACUCACAUUGCAUUGUAUUUUGUAAUUUGUACAUGAUUGUGAUGGUUCCAAACUUAGUUUAUCUAUUUUCGUGGGUUUUCUCUCCAUUUGUUAAUGAAAUCAGGAUCAUGUAGUCCUGGUCAUCAUCAUCAAUUCAGUUUUGGUUUCUGAUCAUGUUGCAUAGUAAUGCCUGGCCCAAGAUUAAUCUAUCCGAAAAGGUCACCCUUCCUCAUACUUGUUUUGGUGAUAUACCAGUGGCUCAUUCAAGUUAUCAAAAAAAAAAUUGGCCUGUAGAGAAGGUUCAUAGUGUUCGUCAGUUCAGAUUCUGAUCAUAAUAUUUUUCUUAAAGAAACUACGCAACCCAUGAACUUAGGGAUCUGUGUUUGGAUCAAUGGACUAAUUUUUUGUUCGGGUCACAUCGGAUAUUUGGAUACCAACUAGAAGGACCAUCUAAGUGACCGUAUCUUUGGUGCAUGCAAUGAACCGAAGAAAUAAAAGAAAACAACACAAUCGGAUGUUCCAAUGGCCCCCAGAAGGCGUUGGAUUAAGCGUUGGAAGUUUUGGUACGCUGCGGAAGAAAUAAGGUAAAGUCAACCAUCGGAUGCUCCUACCAGGUUGCCACGAAGCGUGACAAUUUUAUUUGAUUCUGAAUCUUAUACUGCCUUAUAUCCUUAUCAGGUUGAAAUUUGUUGUUCUGGCAGUGUUCUUAUUAUCCUAACAACCUCAUCCAUUGAUGCGUAACUAAUGCUUGAAUCUGUAAACUAAUGCAUAGGGACACGUUUCUAUCGGAUUUAUCACAUUUGGAUGCAUCAUAAUCUUAAUGUCAGUAGCCUAAUGGAAAGAAACGAACUGAAAGUUCGUGAUGCGGUCACAAAAUGAUAAUCUGCAAUUGUAUAAAGUUACACUCCAGAAAGUGAUCCAGGAGAUACUCGACCAGGCACACAGUGCAUCUUUCUAGCAUAAUAACCUUCUUCUCAUGUCUCCCCAAUGCCCAAGGAUCCAUGUUCAGAAUCUUUAAAUCUGUAAAGCUGUGGCCUGUUGCAUGAUGAAAAUUAACAAUCCUCUAAUGAACUGUUGUGCAUUUGGUUAAGAAAUACUUUUGAAGAAAGCAUUCAGUUAAUAAUUAACUUUCUUCACCGAAGGGUUAACUAACAUGUCUGCAGUCACAAACAUCUCAGAGCUUUUGGAGAUGAUCACUAUAGGGCAUAGGCAUAGCUAGAACAGAAACUUAGCUUCACGUUUUCUUGAACAAGCCUUUUUUUUGCUUCACUUUGAGGCAAAGUUCAAGAGUAAAUAAAGAAUUGUUCCGUAUUUGUGAAAAAGUGAAUGCUUUUGAUUUUUUAUUUCUUAAGAUGUGGAAUUUAGGAAUGUCCAUUUAAUAGACCAACUUCUAAUUUGAUUUCGAUUUGAAAUGCCAUGUUUAGUGCCAGAGCCUCAGCUUGAUACCUUUGUCUUCUGCAAGACUAAGAGUGACGUAGCAGCCUUCCAGCUAGAUGACAUGUUUAGCACACUUCAAAUCUUGAUUUGCACCGUUACAUGCUUUGCUUACCUGUGAUGCUUCGAUGCAGUAUAGAGGAGGUUGUGGACUUGGUUGCCGACGACUUGUAUGUUCUCGGUACAAGUCCAUCAAGGGCCUUGUCGAGGCUGGCCGAAUCGACCUUAUCUGAUGUCAAAUCACAAAUUCGUACUUGUAAAAGUGCGAGCUCUGAAAGCAUAACAGCUAGGCCAUAGAAGAUAUUAUGAAGCGUUUGGUCCACGAUUCUUCUGAAUUCUUGGAACGGAUGGAAUCAAGGGCAGGAAUGAUAUUUACUCUGUAUCACCACAAGGAUAACCUGAAUUGGUAAAUACCGUCUAAGUGCAGCAUGUGGCUUAGGCUCCAUAUGUAAGACUCACAUUGGAUUGUAUUUUGUAAUUCGUACAUGAUUGUGAUGGUACCUAUCGGUCUUUAAACCCGACAACCUACCCAGGGGAGUACCUGGGAUAGAGUUUUGAUUGGUGGGUGUCAUUGAAAU
This 2173-nucleotide long non-coding RNA is filed under the name Setaria viridis. RNAcentral describes it as "long non-coding RNA (SVIR_LNC004472)". Lineage: Eukaryota; Viridiplantae; Streptophyta; Magnoliopsida; Poales; Poaceae. The record is from RNAcentral.